GAUGAACGCUGGCGGCGUGCUUAACACAUGCAAGUCGAACGAUGAAGCCCUGCUUGUUGGGUGGGUUAGUGUCGCACGGGUGAGUAACACGUGAGUAUCCUCCCCUUAACUCUUGGAUAAGCCUUGGAAACUGGGUCUAUUACCGCGGAGAGGCGCCCCCGCCACGGUGGGGGUUGGGAAGAUUUUGCGGUUUUGGAUGGACUCGCGGCGUAUCAGCUUGUUGGUGUGGUAUUGGCUCACCAAGGCGCCGACGGGUAGCCGGCCUGAGAGGGUGACCGGCCACACUGGGACUGAGACACGGCCCAGACUCCUACGGGAGGCAGCAGUGGGGAAUAUUGCACAAUGGGCGCAAGCCUGAUGCAGCGACGCCGCGUGAGGGAUGACGGCCUUCGGGUUGUAAACCGCUUUCAGUAGGGAAGAAGCGAAAGUGACGGUAACUGCAAAAGAAGCACCGGCUAACUACGUG
RNAcentral lists this ribosomal RNA (466 nucleotides) under uncultured bacterium. RNAcentral describes it as "partial 16S ribosomal RNA". It matches the Rfam family "Bacterial small subunit ribosomal RNA", at positions 28 to 507 of the family's 1533-position model. The record is from RNAcentral.